RNAcentral lists this ribosomal RNA (1463 nucleotides) under metagenome. Its description in RNAcentral is "bacterial LSU rRNA". It matches the Rfam family "Bacterial large subunit ribosomal RNA", at positions 1128 to 2591 of the family's 2925-position model. The record is from RNAcentral.
AAAAGCGUAAUAGCUCACUGAUCGAGUCGUCCUGCGCGGAAGAUGUAACGGGGCUAAGCCAGUUACCGAAGCUGCGGAUGUGCAAUUUAUUGCACGUGGUAGGAGAGCGUUCUGUAGGCCUGUGAAGGUGUCUGGUAACGGAUGCUGGAGGUAUCAGAAGUGCGAAUGCUGACAUGAGUAGCGUUAAAGGGGGUGAAAAGCCCCCUCGCCGUAAGCGCAAGGUUUUCUACGCAACGUUCAUCGGCGUAGAGUGAGUCGGCCCCUAAGGCGAGGCAGAGAUGCGUAGCUGAUGGGAAACAGGUCAAUAUUCCUGUACCGAUGUGUAGUGCGAUGUGGGGACGGAGAAGGUUAGCUCAGCCAACUGUUGGAUAUGUUGGUUCAAGCCUGUAGUCGUGCCCGGUAGGCAAAUCCGCCGGGCUUAGAUGAGGGGUGAUGACGAGGCUGCUUGCAGCCGAAGUGAGUGAUACCCUGCUUCCAGGAAAAGCCACUAAGCUUCAGCUACACACGACCGUACCGCAAACCGACACUGGUGCGCGAGAUGAGUAUUCUAAGGCGCUUGAGAGAACUCAGGGGAAGGAACUCGGCAAAUUGAUACCGUAACUUCGGGAGAAGGUAUGCCCCAAGUAGGUGAACCUGUACAAGGCGAGCCCAAAGGGGUUGCAAAAAAUCGGUGGCUGCGACUGUUUAAUAAAAACACAGCACUCUGCAAACACGAAAGUGGACGUAUAGGGUGUGACGCCUGCCCGGUGCUGGAAGAUUAAAUGAUGGGGUGCAAGCUCUUGACUGAAGUCCCAGUAAACGGCGGCCGUAACGAUAACGGUCCUAAGGUAGCGAAAUUCCUUGUCGGGUAAGUUCCGACCUGCACGAAUGGCGUAACGAUGGCCACACUGUCUCCUCCUGAGACUCAGCGAAGUUGAAAUGUUUGUGAUGAUGCAAUCUCCCCGCGGAAAGACGGAAAGACCCCAUGAACCUUUACUGUAGCUUUGUAUUGGACUUUGAACAGAUCUGUGUAGGAUAGGUGGGAGGCUUUGAAGUGAGGUCGCUAGAUCUCAUGGAGCCAACGUUGAAAUACCACCCUGGUGUGUUUGAGGUUCUAACCUAGGUCCAUUAUCUGGAUCGGGGACAGUGCAUGGUAGGCAGUUUGACUGGGGCGGUCUCCUCCCAAAGCGUAACGGAGGAGUUCGAAGGUACGCUAGUUACGGUCGGACAUCGUGACGAUAGUGCAAUGGCAUAAGCGUGCUUAACUGCGAGACUGACAAGUCGAGCAGAUGCGAAAGCAGGACAUAGUGAUCCGGUAGUUCUGUAUGGAAGGGCCAUCGCUCAACGGAUAAAAGGUACUCUGGGGAUAACAGGCUGAUACCGCCCAAGAGUUCAUAUCGACGGCGGUGUUUGGCACCUCGAUGUCGGCUCAUCUCAUCCUGGGGCUGUAGCCGGUCCCAAGGGUAUGGCUGUUCGCCAUUUAA